GAAUCACUCGGCCUCCUGGCCUUGGCUCCCCCACCAGGGGACGUCAUGCGGCCUGGUCAUCGGCCUUGACACAGGCGUGCGGUGUCUCUGGACGACUGCUGGCACCGCAGCCCGCGACAAAAUGGGGAAUGAGCAGGAGCUCCAAAGUCAGAGGCUUUCUGUUGUGGGAGAGGAGAGGAGGACAAGGCGUGAGCUGGUUCCUAAUUCCGUGUUUCGUCACAGCUGGAUGGUAUUUGAAGCAAGAAGGUUCUUUGGGAAACUUUAAGGUAUGAGCCUGGCAAAGGAGGAGGCUGGCCUCGGAAAAUAAGAGCAUGCCUAUUCCAGAAAACCAAGACAGUGCACUCAUCAUGUACCUUGCCGGCUCUCCGUGACCUGUGCAUAUGUGCGCACAUCCCCACAGCUCUUCAGCCUCCUCCCCUGGCGGUGGGUUUGGGUUCCUGCGUCCACGGCACCCCCUGCAGGAGACACUUACUGGAUAUCCAUACAGGGAGAUGGCUAUUUUGUUUUGUUUGUUUUUAUUGAAGUUCAAUUUGCCAACAUAUAGUAUAAUAGCCAGUGCUCAUCCCAUCAAGUCAAGUGGCUUCUCUUUGGGAGAAAUGUGAACCUGAUUCUGGAUCAUCCAUCAGUGGACCAAAAUUAUAAGGUACUCAGUGUAAGAGGUUUUACAUUUAUAUUUGAGAUACAGAAACUAUAAAUGAAAGAAAGUCAAAAUUUUGCCUAUUUUUUGUCUUUAUUUGCAUUAACGACUUAAUGGGAAAUUAGUACUGACCGUCGUCCUUUCUGCUUAUUAACAGAGUGUUUAAGCCAGUGAUAAAGCACUAGGUGCUGCUGUCUGUUUUCCAGAAACUAGUCCUUACAGUGUUGGGUGCGGAGUAUCCGUAAGCCUCCUCGGCGGAACCCCAAACAGUGCUCCCUGUGGACAUGGUAAAAUGUUCUGGUUGAUGACCUGCUCUCAGACGCUACCAAACCUCUAGCGGGAUGUGGUUCCCAGUCAGCCUUUCUCCAUGAAACGUCCUGGAGUUUUAGAAUUAAGAAAAUGUCUUAAAAUGCAUUAAUACUAAAUAUAAUAAAGAGAUUUAUGACUAUUUCUGAAGCCCUACUUAAGUAAUGUAGGAGCCAAGUCAGGGUUUUGAUAGAAUGCAACAUUCUUGGAAAACUUAGAGACCUGCCGGAUUAUAAAUUUACAAUUUCCUUCCUUACUGCGCUGAGGAAAAAUACAUUAAUUGAUGAAAAGUUUUGUGCAGCUUCUUUUAUUUCUAUCACGCUACGCGUAUCGGUUGUGUAAUUAUAAACCUGCCUUUCUUUGGGUCUCCUUGGGGUAAUUGCCAAAAACCUAAUAAAGUUUGGGGAGCCCGGAAAAUUGCCCAGCCGAAUAGAAAUACCAUUUCAGGGAAACAGCUAACACAGUAAAAUCUCCUUCUUUUAUAAGUUAAUACUCUUCCUUUUUUUUGCUUCCUGUCUUAGUUUCACACAUUUUGCCUUAGCAGUUACUCUCAUUUUGAAAACAUCCCUUUCUCAGUGGCUUGGCCCUGACCAACCCAGGUGGGAAAAUUUUUUGCUUUUAAAUAUCUUGUUACACCAACAGUUCUUUUCCCCUUAGCAAUAAUUUUCAUCUUCAAACUCAUUUUGGGCGUCGGAGUGAUUCCCAGUAAGGGAUCCCCAAACACCUAGAGGUCCUGAAGGUAGUAAUGGGAGUCUAUAUAUUUUACAUAUUUCAAAAAGCCUAAUGGAAAUCACAUAUUUACUCAGAAUAAGGCUGCAGAAGAAAUCAGUAAAAUGUCUUUGAUUUGGUUAGA
This 1796-nucleotide long non-coding RNA is filed under the name Canis lupus familiaris (dog). Its description in RNAcentral is "lncRNA (ENSCAFG00000033872.3)". The record is from RNAcentral. Lineage: Eukaryota; Metazoa; Chordata; Mammalia; Carnivora; Canidae.